Brachypodium distachyon (stiff brome) is the source of this 116-nucleotide non-coding RNA. Lineage: Eukaryota; Viridiplantae; Streptophyta; Magnoliopsida; Poales; Poaceae. The record is from Rfam.
CAGGAUACCCAUUGACCCUCUUUAGUUCCACCAAAUGAACUAAAAUUUCAAAAUGACAUAACUUUUUGGAAAACUAGUUCAUUUGUUUGAACUAAGGAGAGUCAACGGGUACCCUG